UGAGUGGUUAAGGCUCCCAGUAGACGACUGGGUUGAUAGGCCAGAUGUGGAAGCCCGGUAACGGGUGGAGCUGACUGGUACUAAUAGGCCGAGGGCUUGUCCUC
Molecule: ribosomal RNA, 104 nt
Filed under: Streptomyces flavovirens
Lineage: Bacteria; Bacillati; Actinomycetota; Actinomycetes; Kitasatosporales; Streptomycetaceae
Also listed under: 1 other name
Description: partial 23S ribosomal RNA
Rfam family: Bacterial large subunit ribosomal RNA
Source: RNAcentral